GAUGAACGCUAGCGGCAGGCUUAACACAUGCAAGUCGAACGGCAGCACGGGAGCAAUCCUGGUGGCGAGUGGCGAACGGGUGAGUAAUAUAUCGGAACGUGCCCGGUCGUGGGGGAUAACGUAGCGAAAGCUACGCUAAUACCGCAUACGAUCUACGGAUGAAAGCGGGGAUCGCAAGACCUCGCGCGAUUGGAGCGGCCGAUAUCAGAUUAGGUAGUUGGUGAGGUAAAGGCGUCACCAAGCCGACGAUCUGUAGCUGGUCUUGAGAGGACGACCAGCCACACUGGAACUGAGACACGGUCCAGACUCCUACGGGAGGCAGCAGUGGGGAAUUUUGGACAAGUGGACGCAAGUCUGAUCCAGCCAUUCGCGUGCAGGAUGAAGG
RNAcentral lists this ribosomal RNA (385 nucleotides) under uncultured bacterium. Its description in RNAcentral is "bacterial SSU rRNA". It matches the Rfam family "Bacterial small subunit ribosomal RNA", at positions 28 to 414 of the family's 1533-position model. The record is from RNAcentral.